This 379-nucleotide ribosomal RNA is filed under the name uncultured bacterium. Its description in RNAcentral is "bacterial SSU rRNA". It matches the Rfam family "Bacterial small subunit ribosomal RNA", at positions 28 to 407 of the family's 1533-position model. The record is from RNAcentral.
GACGAACGCUGGCGGCGUGCUUAACACAUGCAAGUCGAGCGGUAAGGCCCUUUCGGGGGUACACGAGCGGCGAACGGGUGAGUAACACGUGGGUGACCUGCCCUUAGCUCUGGGAUAAGCCUGGGAAACUGGGUCUAAUACCGGAUAUGACUCCAUAACGCAUGUUGUGGGGUGGAAAGCCUUGUGCGGCUAGGGAUGGGCCCGCGGCCCUAUCAGCUUGUUGGUGGGGUGAUGGCCUACCAAGGCGACGACGGGUAGCCGGCCUGAGAGGGCGACCGGCCACACUGGGACUGAGACACGGCCCAGACUCCUACGGGAGGCAGCAGUGGGGAAUCUUGCGCAAUGGGCGAAAGCCUGACGCAGCGACGCCGCGUGGGGA